This is a long non-coding RNA of Penaeus indicus, 507 nucleotides long. RefSeq lists it as uncharacterized. Lineage: Eukaryota; Metazoa; Arthropoda; Malacostraca; Decapoda; Penaeidae. The record is from RefSeq and is a predicted model, not a curated record. The transcript has 3 exons.
UCCAUUUAUUACUGUCAAAAAACAUUUUUUGAUCUAUAACUGUCAACCUGAAAUAUUUCAGCAUUAUACAUGUAUAUAUAGAUAAAUGCACAAUUAUGUAGGUAGGUAGGUUGGUGGGUGGGUAGGAGGUAGGUGGGUGGGAUGGUUGUAGGUAGGUGGGAUGGUUGUAGGUAGGUGGGAUGGUUGUAGGUAGGUGGGAUGGUUGUAGGUAGGUGGGAUGGUUGUAGGUAGGUGGGAUGGUUGUAGGUAGGUGGGAUGGUUGUAGGUAGGUGGGAUGGUUGUAGGUAGGUGGGAUGGUUGUAGGUAGGUGGGAUGGUUGUAGGUAGGUAGGUAGGUAGGUAGGUAGGUAGGUAGGUAGGUAGGUAGGUAGGUAGGUAGGUAGGUAGGUAGGUAGGUAGGUAGGUAGGUAGGUAGGUGUGUGUGUGUGUGUGUGUGUGUGUGUGUGUGUGUGUGUGUGUGUGUGUGUGUGUGUGUGUGUGUGUGUGUGUGUGUGUGUGUGUGACAAAA